AAGAAAGAAAGGAAUGAAUAGGAAGAAAGUCUCUGAGUGGUACAUUCCAAGGCUGGUUAACUACCUGGAUGAGGGUGGUAUCCAUUAAAACCAAGGACAGUUAUUGUCAGCUGCCUGAACCCUGAACUGACUGACAAAGCCACCAAGGCCCUCAUACCUAAGACACCAUGGAUCAGAAAGAAUGGAGACCUACCCGUCACCAUUCAUUCCUUCUCCUGACUUUAUUAUUCCUAUGAGAUGAUGCUGGCCUGGGAUAAGUUAACUGUCACAAGUGUAAUUUCCCACACGUGCUCUCACAGAUGACGUUUGAGCCUUUGUUGGUUAUUCUUCCAUCUUCUAUGUCUUUUCUUCUUGGCCCAGUUUCCUCUCUGCAAAUUCUCAACAUUAAACUAUUUACAGUGGCUUUGUCAAAGACUACUCCCAGAUAACAUUCAUGUUUUCUUUAGGCUUGUUGGGUUUUAAAUAAAGACUCCCCUAAAUUAUCCAAAGGAGAAAGAGGUGUGUUGGAAGAAUAUGUAUGAAUGGCAAUGGGAACCGGAAUUUGCAAGGGGGACUCUCCCUCCAUCUCUAUAUCAAGGACUGUGAGUUCUCUGCUCUUCUCUGUACACCUGCUUGAAUCGUACUCCUGACAACCUUCCUUGGGUAAAUCCUGAUUCCUUAUUCUCCAUUACUUUGAUUUGUACUGAACCAUCAUGGACAUUCAGCCCUGACUUACCUCAUGAUCUUUCAGCUACAGCUUUUGUCUAUGUUAUUUUACUAGUACACAGUACAGAGAAAGAAACGGAGAAAAUCUAAUUGGCCACAUCUAUUUCUGAGCUAGGACAGAGUUUAUAUGUCAUUAUGUGACCCUGAGUUUGUAUACCAUAGGCUAACCUAUGGGUUGGACACAUUUAGGUCCAGGACUCACUUCUGCUAUGAAGCGAUGCAAAGAGAGAUGAAGAGCGUUGCAAAACAUACCAUCAUUUUGUUGGAGUGUAUGCUGCUGUAGCAAAUUACCACAAACCACACAAAAUAUCUUCUAGUUCUGUAUUUUCGAAGUCUUACUGACACAGGUGUCACCAGGCGAAGAUCAAGUUGCCCUACGGCCACAUUCCUUUUUGGUGGCUCUAGGGGAUCCAAUUCUGUGCUUAUUCAGGCUAUCGAGAGAAUUUACUUCCAUGUGACAGCAGAACCGAGGUACCUGCUCCCUCUUCGACUGUUACGUGAGGACUCAUCCUUCUUUUAUAGAGAACCCACCUUCAAGGUCCCUCCCCCAUCUUCAAAGCCAGUAAUGGUGAGGUAAGUCUCUCUCACAGUUUGAACCUUUCCUCUUCUUGACAAACUUCUGACCACAGCCAGAAAAGUUAUAUGCUUUUAAGGACUCAUGCCAUUAAUUUGGAGCCACUCAGAUAGUCCAGGUUUAUUUCGCCAUCUCAAAGUCCAAACACUUAAUCAUAAUUGCAAAGUCCCUUUUGUGCAUCAGGUAACAUUCGCAGGUUAUGAGGAUUAGUGUGAGACAACUUUAAGGUGCCAAUAUUUAGUUCCAUGUAUUAGUAUUCUGCCGACCACAACCCCCAAAUAUCAAAGCCUACAAAGGGAGUUGUUUUCCUUUGGAAAGAGAAAAAAGAUAGGGACAGGCAGACUUUACAAAUACACCUAGUUCACGACAGCAAUUUUGCUCUCCCCAGUCUGGAUCCAUCCAUUUCUAUCCUUUAAAAUUCAGCUGCAGUCCAAUCUCCUCCAAAACUUUUUUUAAACAACUUGAGCUCAUAUUAUUGCAUCCUUUCUCAGACUACAUGUUAAAUUCAUGAGCAAUGCCAGUUUUCCCCCAUUAUUCAAAUUUAUUAAUUCAAUCAUCCAUUCAUUCAGUAACACUUACAGAGAUUUUGUUAAAGGAACUCCUAUAUAACAGUUAUAAAUAUGAAUAUGUAUCAUUAUUGACUUCAAGGAGCACAUGUAUUUUAUGAUCAUUUAUUUUGUUUCCUUAACAAAAAUGCUAGCUUCAUGAAGGAAGAAUCACACGUUUGGUUCUUUCACAGAAUGCUAAGCCAAGGCACAAUCAGUAAAUAAAAGAAUGACCAAUUGCUAAAAGUAAAAAAAAAAUCACUUCAAACUACAGACAUUUAAGCACAAACUAGUAAUUUAAAUUGCAUUCAGAAUGGGAGACUUGGCAUUAUUUACCACACAUCAUCUCAUUUUUA
This is a long non-coding RNA of Herpailurus yagouaroundi (jaguarundi), 2180 nucleotides long. RefSeq lists it as uncharacterized. The transcript is spliced from 3 exons. The record is from RefSeq and is a predicted model, not a curated record. Lineage: Eukaryota; Metazoa; Chordata; Mammalia; Carnivora; Felidae.